GGCGAGCAGGACCCCACAGGCCGGGGACCUUCAGGCACCAGAAGACCCGGGACACACGCGGCCUGCCCGGUGGCGCGCGCUUCCCCCCUCCCCCGCGGUCGGGAGCGAGCCGCCGUGACGUCACGGGCCACCCGCCAGCCCCGCGCUCCACCGGGCAGAGCGCGUGCAGCCGCCCGAGCACAUGGACCCGCUGGUCGAGCAGGCUCCGCAAGGCCGAGAUGAAGAGAAGCUGCGGACCAGGAUGCGAAACAGCACCCCCGAAGUCCCCCCGAGUGGAUAUUCACGCGGAAAGGAUGUUGGCAGUCCUGGCGAUCUGGGAGUCAUGGCUGAAACCACCCUCCAGCCUGACCUUCACAUGACUAUGGUAAGAAGAUGCCUUCCAGCAGGCUGUGCUUGCAGACCACAUGGAGCCUCACUUGGGGAUUUUCUCAACCCUAUGGAUUUACAGUAAGAUGCAGUUGCCUGGGGAGUGAUGCUGGUGGAUGCAGAUUCUGGAACAACACACCUGGCUUGCCUUGGGAUGCUACAAGUGGCCUAAUGGAUUCUUUGAGCCUGGAUGCCCACUGGGGACAAGGACCAUAGCUGAGAAGACUGUAUCUCUACCCUUGACUCCAUGCUCUGAUCUCUCGAGCUCCCUCUAAAAUAUUCUAGCAUACCUGUUAAGCAUUCCAGAAGGAUUUGAGAAUCAUCAAAUAAAGCUGGAGUAUUUGGCGAUUUGGAAAAUUGAGAUGAGAAGCAUCUACUUAGAGAUGCCAAGUAACUCAGCAGAAGUUGCACAGCUGCUAAAUAGCAAAGACAGAAGUCUUCGGGCUGGAGGCAAUUCUAGAAGACAGUUGAACCCUCCAGAGCUAGUGGGAGACUGAUGGACUUACUACACAGGAGAUAGAUCCAGCCAUGGCAUUGUCUUGAAGAGAAUGAUACAUUCUUUCCAGAAGACAUAGAAGAUUCCUGAAACUGGGAAAUGUGCCUGGAAAUGUGAAGAGAGAAGAGAGCUCUUUCCCUCCCCUGCCUGGGCAUCUCCCACCAUACUCAAAACUUUCAACUGGGGUCACGGCUGAGCUCUCCUCUUUCAAUCCAGGUUUGAUGGAAACGUUACUUUCAAUUGAACUCACUUGUUGAACUGCCUCUGUCUUCGAAGGAUUCCAUUAGGACGGUUAAUUAUAGCUAUUGCUACAAAGCAUUAUUUGCACUCAAUUUCAGCUUUUAGGCAAUUUAGUUCAAAUGUUUUAUAUUUUACUCUUUGGAAGUGUAUGUAACCAUCAUCCUCUUACACUACAGGCUUCCCAUGAGAUAUUUUUAGAAAUCCGAAGAAAAACAGCAAUUUUGGUGGUGACCAUAUCUGGUCUAACCUUAAGUGCUGAUAAAAAACAGCCAAAGACACAAUGCUGUAUAGAUCAGGAAAGACACUCCCUUGUUUUGGGGGGUCAAGAAACUUCAAGUUGUCCUUUAUAUUACAGUAUUUAUUUGCAAACUAAUUAAAACCAAUGACAAUGGGAAUUCCUCCCCAUUUGCAGAGAUUUGUCCUUUUGCUAACUGUUGGCCAUAAUUACUGUGCUUUAAGAUGGUGGCCAUGCAAGAGUUUAGUGGGGACCCUAUUUUGAUAUCUGCAUUUCCCACGAAGUGGAAAUUAUUUUCUAUUUGUUAUUUGUGUAUAUAUGAGGGUUAUAAGUACUUGGAUGUUAUAGCACAGAUGAAGUCAAAAGCCAGCAUUCUGGAGUUGUUCAUUCCUUCCACAGUGAGUUCUGGAAUAGAGCUCAGGUCAUUUUAUGUCAAGCCUUUUUACCCUUUAAGCCAUCUUUGGGCCAAAAGCACUUUUUUUGUAUUCAUAACUCUGCCCUCUUUUCUUCUUGUGCCAGCAGACAUGUAGCCUAACUCAUGCUUGCUAACCUACCCUCUCUCUCUCCAAAAGUUAAGCUCUCCACUUGUGGACCAGGACUGCACUCUCUCCCAUCACAUGCCUACCUCGUAAGAGCUGCUUGCAUGAUGAAUUGACAGAUGGGUGAA
Molecule: long non-coding RNA, 2004 nt
Organism: Onychomys torridus (southern grasshopper mouse)
Lineage: Eukaryota; Metazoa; Chordata; Mammalia; Rodentia; Cricetidae
Exons: 5
Source: RefSeq, a predicted model, not a curated record